This 592-nucleotide ribosomal RNA is filed under the name fungal sp. ARIZ B446cB. RNAcentral describes it as "eukaryotic LSU rRNA". The stretch from base 207 to 360 matches the Rfam family "5.8S ribosomal RNA". Lineage: Eukaryota; Fungi. RNAcentral also lists the same sequence under 1 other name. The record is from RNAcentral.
UGGAAGUAAAAAGUCGUAACAAGGUCUCCGUUGGUGAACCAGCGGAGGGAUCAUUACCGAGUUAUUCAACUCAUCAACCCUGUGAACAUACCUAAACGUUGCUUCGGCGGGAAUAGACGGCCCCGUGAAACGGGCCGCCCCCGCCAGAGGACCCUUAACUCUGUUUCUAUAAUGUUUCUUCUGAGUAAAACAAGCAAAUAAAUUAAAACUUUCAACAACGGAUCUCUUGGCUCUGGCAUCGAUGAAGAACGCAGCGAAAUGCGAUAAGUAAUGUGAAUUGCAGAAUUCAGUGAAUCAUCGAAUCUUUGAACGCACAUUGCGCCCGCCAGUAUUCUGGCGGGCAUGCCUGUUCGAGCGUCAUUACAACCCUCAGGCCCCCGGGCCUGGCGUUGGGGAUCGGCGGAGCCUCUCUGUGGGCACACGCCGUCCCCCAAAUACAGUGGCGGUCCCGCCGCAGCUUCCAUCGCGUAGUAGCUAACACCUCGCGACUGGAGAGCGGCGCGGCCACGCCGUAAAACACCCAACUUUUCUGAAGUUGACCUCGAAUCAGGUAGGAAUACCCGCUGAACUUAAGCAUAUCAAUAAGCGGAGG